This 462-nucleotide ribosomal RNA is filed under the name uncultured Desulfobulbus sp. RNAcentral's name for it is "bacterial SSU rRNA". It matches the Rfam family "Bacterial small subunit ribosomal RNA", at positions 924 to 1382 of the family's 1533-position model. Lineage: Bacteria; Pseudomonadati; Thermodesulfobacteriota; Desulfobulbia; Desulfobulbales; Desulfobulbaceae. The record is from RNAcentral.
CACAAGCGGUGGAGUAUGUGGUUAAUUCGAUGCAACGCGAAGAACCUUACCUGGUCUUGACAUCCCGGAGACCCUUAGGAAACUAGGGGUGCUUCCAUCUGGAAGAAUCUGGAGACAGGUGCUGCAUGGCUGUCGUCAGCUCGUGUCGUGAGAUGUUGGGUUAAGUCCCGCAACGAGCGCAACCCUUGCCUUUAGUUGCCAGCAGUUCGGCUGGGCACUCUAAAGGGACUGCCGGUGUUAAACCGGAGGAAGGUGGGGAUGACGUCAAGUCCUCAUGGCCUUUAUGACCAGGGCUACACACGUACUACAAUGGCCGAUACAAAGGGCAGCGACACUGCGAGGUGAAGCCAAUCCCGUAAAAUCGGUCUCAGUCCGGAUUGGAGUCUGCAACUCGACUCCAUGAAGUUGGAAUCGCUAGUAAUCGUGGAUCAGCAUGCUACGGUGAAUACGUUCCCGGGCCUU